UGGAGAAAGGAAUAAGCAAAGC
Molecule: non-coding RNA, 22 nt
Filed under: Arabidopsis thaliana (thale cress)
Lineage: Eukaryota; Viridiplantae; Streptophyta; Magnoliopsida; Brassicales; Brassicaceae
Source: RNAcentral